CCAAUAGCGUAUAUUAAAGUUGUUGCAGUUAAAAAGCUCGUAGUUGAAUUUCGGGAUCAAUACGUCGGUCGUGCUUAGGUACGUACUGGCGUAAUUGAUUUCUCCCUUCUGACGAACCAUGAUGUCAUUAACUUGGUGUCAUGGGAAAUCAGGACUGUUACUUUGAAAAAAUUAGAGUGUUUAAAGCAGGCUCAUGCUUGAAUACAUUAGCAUGGAAUAAUGAAAUAGGACGUUCGAUCCUAUUUUGUUGGUUUUUAGGAUCAACGUAAUGAUUAAUAGGGAUAGUUGGGGGCAUUAGUAUUCAAUUGUCAGAGGUGAAAUUCUUGGAUUUAUUGAAGACUAACUACUGCGAAAGCAUUUGCCAAGGAUGUUUUCAUUAAUCAAGAACGAAAGUUAGGGGAUCGAAGACGAUCAGAUACCGUCGUAGUCUUAACCACAAACUAUGCCGACUAGGGAUCGGAUGAUGUUAAUUUUUUAAUGACUCAUUCGGCGCCUUACG
This 499-nucleotide ribosomal RNA is filed under the name uncultured Glomeromycotina. RNAcentral's name for it is "partial small subunit ribosomal RNA". It matches the Rfam family "Eukaryotic small subunit ribosomal RNA", at positions 591 to 1092 of the family's 1831-position model. Lineage: Eukaryota; Fungi; Glomeromycota. The record is from RNAcentral.